Canis lupus familiaris (dog) is the source of this 563-nucleotide long non-coding RNA. RefSeq lists it as uncharacterized. The transcript is spliced from 2 exons. The record is from RefSeq and is a predicted model, not a curated record. NCBI's taxonomy places the organism in Eukaryota, Metazoa, Chordata, Mammalia, Carnivora, Canidae.
GCGAGGGCCGCAGGGCCACAGCGGCUGCAGCGCCCGCCCUGCACGCGGAGCCCCAGGGGACCCCAGAACCAGGGGCGUGGGGGCCAAGGGAGGAAGAGAGCCUGCCGGCGGCCACCGCGAGGACCACCGCCCUCCCCUGUCCCCCUUCCUUCCCCGGGGUGCGAUUCUUCCCUGCGCACCCCAGCCAACCCCACCGCACCUCUGGGGCCUUGACUGAUUCCUCACUCCCUUUCUUGAAUUGCCUUCUCAGGAACUCCAUUUGCCCAGAGCCCCGUCUGUCCGUGUCAGCGUCCAGGACGCUGCGGAUGUGUCUGAAGUCUGAUGAUGGGAGACGGGCAGCGACUGCAGCGAGACACAGGGCAUGUCAGGAGCGGAGGGCUGAACUUCUGUGAACUACCUCUUGAAGAAGUCCCUUGAGGAAGCCGGGAGACCAGUGUGCGUCCGGCACCCACAGAGACCUGGGUGGCCAGCAUCAGAGUGAGAGCAUCCGAGGUUGUAGGACGCAGUUCUCGGAUUUCUGAUAUAUUGGUCGACAAGGCAAGGGAUUCUCAUGUUGACUCGUA